AUGCAAGUCGAACGGUAACAGGAAGCAGCUUGCUGCUUYGCUGACGAGUGGCGGACGGGUGAGUAAUGUCUGGGAAACUGCCUGAUGGAGGGGGAUAACUACUGGAAACGGUAGCUAAUACCGCAUAACGUCGCAAGACCAAAGAGGGGGACCUUCGGGCCUCUUGCCAUCGGAUGUGCCCAGAUGGGAUUAGCUAGUAGGUGGGGUAACGGCUCACCUAGGCGACGAUCCCUAGCUGGUCUGAGAGGAUGACCAGCCACACUGGAACUGAGACACGGUCCAGACUCCUACGGGAGGCAGCAGUGGGGAAUAUUGCACAAUGGGCGCAAGCCUGAUGCAGCCAUGCCGCGUGUAUGAAGAAGGCCUUCGGGUUGUAAAGUACUUUCAGCGGGGAGGAAGGYGWURAGGUUAAUAACCUYRKCAAUUGACGUUACCCGCAGAAGAAGCACCGGCUAACUCCGUGCCAGCAGCCGCGGUAAUACGGAGGGUGCAAGCGUUAAUCGGAAUUACUGGGCGUAAAGCGCACGCAGGCGGUCUGUCAAGUCGGAUGUGAAAUCCCCGGGCUCAACCUGGGAACUGCAUUCGAAACUGGCAGGCUAGAGUCUUGUAGAGGGGGGUAGAAUUCCAGGUGUAGCGGUGAAAUGCGUAGAGAUCUGGAGGAAUACCGGUGGCGAAGGCGGCCCCCUGGACAAAGACUGACGCUCAGGUGCGAAAGCGUGSGGAGCAMA
RNAcentral lists this ribosomal RNA (728 nucleotides) under Enterobacter sp. CN2. RNAcentral's name for it is "bacterial SSU rRNA". It matches the Rfam family "Bacterial small subunit ribosomal RNA", at positions 55 to 772 of the family's 1533-position model. The record is from RNAcentral. Lineage: Bacteria; Pseudomonadati; Pseudomonadota; Gammaproteobacteria; Enterobacterales; Enterobacteriaceae.